This 245-nucleotide ribosomal RNA is filed under the name uncultured bacterium. RNAcentral's name for it is "partial 16S ribosomal RNA". It matches the Rfam family "Bacterial small subunit ribosomal RNA", at positions 524 to 768 of the family's 1533-position model. The record is from RNAcentral.
UACGAAGGGUACAAGCGUUAUUCGGAGUUACUGGGCGUAAAGAGCGUGUAGGCGGCUUGUUAAGUUGGUUGUUAAAUUUCCCGGCCUAACUGGGAACCAGCAACCAAAACUGGUGAGCUCGAGUACAAGAGAGAGAAGUAGAAUUCCCGGAGUAGCGGUAAAAUGCGUAGAUCUCGGGAGGAAUACCGAUGGCGAAGGCAGCUUCUUGGCUUGAAACUGACGCUAAAGCGCGAAAGCGUGGGGAG